UACGGAAGGUGCAAGCGUUGUUCGGAAUGACUGGGCGUAAAGCGCACGUAGGCGGUUUUGUAAGUCGGAUGUGAAAGCCCCGGGCUCAACCCGGGAAUAGCACCCGAAACUGCGAAACUUGAAUGCUUGAGAGGUUGGUAGAAUUCCAGGUGUAGGAGUGAAAUCCGUAGAUAUCUGGAGGAAUACCGGAGGCGAAGGCGGCCAACUGGUGAUGCAUUGACGCUGAGGUGCGAAAGCGUGGGGAGCAAACAGG
RNAcentral lists this ribosomal RNA (253 nucleotides) under uncultured bacterium. RNAcentral's name for it is "partial 16S ribosomal RNA". It matches the Rfam family "Bacterial small subunit ribosomal RNA", at positions 524 to 776 of the family's 1533-position model. The record is from RNAcentral.